This 497-nucleotide ribosomal RNA is filed under the name uncultured bacterium. RNAcentral describes it as "partial 16S ribosomal RNA". It matches the Rfam family "Bacterial small subunit ribosomal RNA", at positions 28 to 507 of the family's 1533-position model. The record is from RNAcentral.
GAUGAACGCUGGCGGCGUGCCUAAUACAUGCAAGUCGAGCGAACAGACGAGGAGCUUGCUCCUCUGACGUUAGCGGCGGACGGGUGAGUAACACGUGGAUAACCUACCUAUAAGACUGGGAUAACUUCGGGAAACCGGAGCUAAUACCGGAUAAUAUAUAGAACCGCAUGGUUCAAUAGUGAAAGACGGUUUUGCUGUCACUUAUAGAUGGAUCCGCGCCGCAUUAGCUAGUUGGUAAGGUAACGGCUUACCAAGGCAACGAUGCGUAGCCGACCUGAGAGGGUGAUCGGCCACACUGGAACUGAGACACGGUCCAGACUCCUACGGGAGGCAGCAGUAGGGAAUCUUCCGCAAUGGGCGAAAGCCUGACGGAGCAACGCCGCGUGAGUGAUGAAGGUCUUCGGAUCGUAAAACUCUGUUAUUAGGGAAGAACAAAUGUGUAAGUAACUGUGCACGUCUUGACGGUACCUAAUCAGAAAGCCACGGCUAACUACGUG